AUCCUUCGGUUCAUUGAACGUGAUGAUUGGUGCGUUCACGGUGAGUCCGUGAAAGGUGCAGCCUCACUUGUUACGCUUUGCGCCUCAGCCUUUCUGAUC
Parambassis ranga (Indian glassy fish) is the source of this 99-nucleotide small nucleolar RNA. The record is from Ensembl. Lineage: Eukaryota; Metazoa; Chordata; Actinopteri; Ambassidae.